This 2825-nucleotide long non-coding RNA is filed under the name Monomorium pharaonis (pharaoh ant). RNAcentral describes it as "uncharacterized LOC105830115". The record is from RNAcentral. Lineage: Eukaryota; Metazoa; Arthropoda; Insecta; Hymenoptera; Formicidae.
CGUAAAUCUUAAAGCACAUCAGUUCCACUGUAUUCAACGCGUCGUAUACGCGUGGAACACGUUUUGACUUCACAUUUGCAUGUAUACUGUUCAAAUUUGGCGCGCGUUCUCUUUCUUCGCUUCUCUUCUCACACGAAGAGGCACUGUUCGCGUUGCGUGAUUACAGAGUCAACGGUGGAUCUCUCGUACACGUGUGUUACGCGUGAAAAGGAAAAAAAGAGACCAUUGACGUAAUCUGAUUGCACUAGUUUUCGUUUCGACGACGACGACGAACGACUGCGAUUCCCCGACGAACUUUUACUUCGCGUUAACACGCGAGGACUUUUUCGCGUUCUCGAUCGCGGCGACAGAUGACAGCGAAAUGCACGUCUCGAGUGUGUCGCUUACGCGCGAUACGGCCCGCCACGAGUCGACGUGUGUCAGGGCCUUCGACUCCGCAGGAGCACAGACGGAAACGAAAGACUACACAACAUGACUAACGCGGCAGUUCGAGAAGCGAACAGCAGACGUGAACUAUGCGUGUGCGUGUUCACGUGCACGCGUGCCGGGGAGAGGGGAGAUGAGAAUGGAGGAACCGACAGAGAAGGCGAGAUAGAGAGAGAGAGAGAGAGAGAGAGAGAGAGAGAGAGAGAGAGAAAAGAGGGACAGAACGGCGACGGAACGCCUGGAUAUCCACCACGCGUUAACCAAUUCCGCGAGCAUCGCGCGUGCGUGUGCGCGCGUGUACGGGCGGACGUGAAUGUGUGCAGAGAAGCGUAUCCUCCCGUCGAGCGUGGAACGGACGAAAGCGUCGAGCUGUCAGCGCACCCCACCCCGAAAGCCCCUUUGAAACCAACCCCACCCAUCGUGACGAAACCCCCGCCUUCCCUCUCCGUGUCGCAGGCUCUUUCCCUUGACUAGUCGUUUCUCCAUCCCUCUUCGGACGAUCCCCCCUAACCGUGACAACAUCGUGGAACUGUGUGUGCCUUGCACGAAAGCGAAAGUAACACGAGCUCGUAUCGACGCGGAUAGAAAUUACCUCAAGGAAUAUCGCUAUAAAUGAAAUCCGAUUCAUAAGCUGUAUUUUCGUAUUGGAAUUGGACGCUUAUCUUAAUUUUCGCGCGAUAUGAAAUAGAAAACGAGAGAGAGAGAGAGAGAGAGAGAGAGAGAGAGAGAGAGAGAGAGAGAGAGAGAGAGAAAGAGAGAGAGAGAUAAUGAGGAGAAUGGAAAUAAAAGGGAUAAGAAGAAAUAUCGGGGAGAAAUACGAAAAUACGAGAAGUACGUACGAAUGUCAGAAAAGCAACUUGGUCCCUUUCGUUUCCACCGACGCGAACGAAUCAUAAUUCUUAUUCACCACCGGCUCGAAAUCGUCCCCUCUGCGGUACUUUGUCCGGUCUUCUACUUCGGCUUCAGUUUUGCCCAUUUCCUUUCCGACCCAUUCCCCGCCCCUUCCCCCUUUCGCAACGAAGCGUAAAGACAGAUCGGAACAACCGCAGUAACAAGAAGAUCUAGCAAAAUUGUUGCUUUUCAAUUGUCGCAUUAAAAUCAAAUUUUGCAAAAGGAGUCAAGUUUGUUAAAUCAUUAAAUAAAAAAUAUUACAUUUCCCAAAAUAUUUAAAUGCUCUUCGUGUCCUUUUGGUUUCAUUUUCCCUGCUAUCGACGCGUGACCAAGUCUCGGCUUCUUGAAAUGUAAGAAUGUCAGCCGGCGGUCGAAGGGCCGGCUCUAUAAUAGCUUAGGAACAGGUAUCGUGAUGAAACGCGCGCGUGUGUGCGUGUGCCCGUGAAUGAAGGAGUGUAUCUACGGCUAACACGUUCGAAAAUCCGAGGGUUUAUCAUUGACGGCCAACGAACAGUCCGCCAUUGUCCACGGCUGACAUCCAGAGGCUGACAUUUUGAUUUGUCCGAGAUCCUACGAGAGUGGAAAUUUUUUUCGAAGAAAAUGGAGUUGGCCUGCGUCCGAGCGGCGAAGUGAUGACUUUAUCCAAUCGACUCCAUUUCUCAUCCGCAUUCGUUCUCUACCCGCAGGCUGACCCGCAGUCCCAACCAGGGAAGAGAAGGAACCGGCCGCUCCCUCCUGUACGUUGCACGAGAGGAACGAGAGGUACCGUAGAUGAUAUCCUGCCUGCCGACGAACUUCGAACAGCCGACCUCUAACGUAACCGCACGCACAUCAACCAUACGUUCCUUCUGACUCGUUGAUCGACCCGAUCGAUACCUGUUCCGGUAUUUCAGAAGAGUUGGAAAAUAAUUGCCCCUUGAUCGAGGGUCGAUCGUUAAUGUGUGCAAUCUUUUUGUACCGCACGUUGGUGAGUCUCUAUAGAAAGUGUUUUAUAUAUUUUACCAUCGAUUUUGUUAACGAUAAUUAAUAUCAAUAAUUAAACAAUUGUAGAAGAUUUAAUCCCGUUUUUGUGUGUAGAUCAUAAAAAUUUCAUGAUUAUAUAUUUUAAAAAUAAAGUUAAUAAUAAAUUAAAAUUGAUUUUGAUACAUUUAUGUAAUAUAUCAACACACAUAUACACAUAUGCGUUGCAAUAAAUUAAGAAGAAUAAUGAAGAGUUUACUAAUCUAAUAAAAUAUGCAUGGGAAACCGAUUGACGAGAAAUCUGAGAAAUAAAUGAUUUACAAUUACACACGAGCACGUAGAGUAACCGGAAGCACCCUUGUUAGAAAUGGUAGUCGUAUAUAUGUCGAAGAAAGGACUUAGUAGUGUAUCCUUACGACUCCCCACGGCCCACUUAUUACGCUGAUUCUCUUACGAGGCACAAUCAUCUAAAGUAUUUUGAUCAUUACCGUAUCAAACUGAUUCGAUUAAUAAUAGAACUAAGGAUAUUCUACAAAGACAAAAAUUAA